GUUUUCAGCAGAGGAGCUUGGUGUGGGGAAACGUGCUGUGGUGCUGGCAUAAUCUUUAUGGAACAGGAGGCAACGCUAUUCAGAGAUAACCACCAAGGCAGAAUGUUGGCGUGUGGAAGUACCUCUACUCAGAGUGAUAGAGAAAACUAUGGCUCUGCUUUUACUGAAGGAAUGGCUACCGGAGCGGGCAGCUUUAUGAAUAUAAGGUGAAAAGGAUGUAUGGAGAAGUUUUGGGAGAGUCAGACAGUCCACGGAACUUGCAAUGACUUAGCAAUGAUCUAUGCCAGACGUACAACCCCUGCUGUCAUUGGUGAUACCACUGCUUGAAAAUAUGUCAACGUCCUGUAGAUCAAGUAAGGUUCCAGUCGAAGUCCUCCUGAAGAAUUUGUUGGAUUUCUGCCAGUUUUUGAUAUUGAACUUUAGUGCCUUUUGAGACUCUUGGCUUUUUAAUGGCACGCCUCAUUCUACCCAAAUGGAAGGAUUGGAGUGUGUUUAUA
Long non-coding RNA from Sardina pilchardus (European sardine), 497 nucleotides. RefSeq lists it as uncharacterized. The record is from RefSeq and is a predicted model, not a curated record. The transcript is spliced from 4 exons. NCBI's taxonomy places the organism in Eukaryota, Metazoa, Chordata, Actinopteri, Clupeiformes, Clupeidae.